UUAAGCGACUAAGCGUACACGGUGGAUGCCCUGGCAGUCAGAGGCGAUGAAGGACGUGCUAAUCUGCGAAAAGCGUCGGUAAGGUGAUAUGAACCGUUACAGCCGGCGAUGUCCGAAUGGGGAAACCCAGUGCAAUUCGUUGCACUAUCGUUAACUGAAUACAUAGGUUAACGAGGCGAACCGGGGGAACUGAAACAUCUAAGUACCCCGAGGAAAAGAAAUCAACCGAGAUUCCCCCAGUAGCGGCGAGCGAACGGGGAGCAGCCCAGAGUCUGAAUCAGCUUGUGUGUUAGUGGAACGGUCUGGAAAGUCCGACGGUACAGGGUGAUAGUCCCGUACACCAAAAUGCACAGGCUGUGAACUCGAAGAGUAGGGCGGGACACGUGGUAUCCUGUCUGAAUAUGGGGGGACCAUCCUCCAAGGCUAAAUACUCCUGACUGACCGAUAGUGAACCAGUACCGUGAGGGAAAGGCGAAAAGAACCCCGGCGAGGGGAGUGAAAAAGAACCUGAAACCGUGUACGUACAAGCAGUGGGAGCACCUUCGGGUGUGACUGCGUACCUUUUGUAUAAUGGGUCAGCGACUUAUAUUCUGUAGCAAGGUUAACCGUAUAGGGGAGCCGCAGGGAAACCGAGUCUUAACUGGGCGUUAAGUUGCAGGGUAUAGACCCGAAACCCGGUGAUCUAGCCAUGGGCAGGUUGAAGGUUGGGUAACACUAACUGGAGGACCGAACCGACUAAUGUUGAAAAAUUAGCGGAUGACUUGUGGCUGGGGGUGAAAGGCCAAUCAAACCGGGAGAUAGCUGGUUCUCCCCGAAAGCUAUUUAGGUAGCGCCUCGUGAACUCAUCUUCGGGGGUAGAGCACUGUUUCGGCUAGGGGGUCAUCCCGACUUACCAACCCGAUGCAAACUACGAAUACCGAAGAAUGUUAUCACGGGAGACACACGGCGGGUGCUAACGUCCGUCGUGAAGAGGGAAACAACCCAGACCGCCAGCUAAGGUCCCAAAGUCAUGGUUAAGUGGGAAACGAUGUGGGAAGGCACAGACAGCCAGGAUGUUGGCUUAGAAGCAGCCAUCAUUUAAAGAAAGCGUAAUAGCUCACUGGUCGAGUCGGCCUGCGCGGAAGAUGUAACGGGGCUAAACCAUGCACCGAAGCUGCGGCAGCGACACUAUGUGUUGUUGGGUAGGGGAGCGUUCUGUAAGCCUGCGAAGGUGUGCUGUGAGGCAUGCUGGAGGUAUCAGAAGUGCGAAUGCUGACAUAAGUAACGAUAAAGCGGGUGAAAAGCCCGCUCGCCGGAAGACCAAGGGUUCCUGUCCAACGUUAAUCGGGGCAGGGUGAGUCGACCCCUAAGGCGAGGCCGAAAGGCGUAGUCGAUGGGAAACAGGUUAAUAUUCCUGUACUUGGUGUUACUGCGAAGGGGGGACGGAGAAGGCUAUGUUAGCCGGGCGACGGUUGUCCCGGUUUAAGCAUGUAGGCUGAUUGUCCAGGCAAAUCCGGAUAAUCAAGGCUGAGGUGUGAUGACGAGGCACUACGGUGCUGAAGUAACAAAUGCCCUGCUUCCAGGAAAAGCCUCUAAGCAUCAGGUAACAUCAAAUCGUACCCCAAACCGACACAGGUGGUCAGGUAGAGAAUACCAAGGCGCUUGAGAGAACUCGGGUGAAGGAACUAGGCAAAAUGGUGCCGUAACUUCGGGAGAAGGCACGCUGGUGUAGGUGAAGUCCCUGCGGAUGGAGCUGAGACCAGUCGAAGAUACCAGCUGGCUGCAACUGUUUAUUAAAAACACAGCACUGUGCAAACACGAAAGUGGACGUAUACGGUGUGACGCCUGCCCGGUGCCGGAAGGUUAAUUGAUGGGGUUAUCCGUAAGGAGAAGCUCUUGAUCGAAGCCCCGGUAAACGGCGGCCGUAACUAUAACGGUCCUAAGGUAGCGAAAUUCCUUGUCGGGUAAGUUCCGACCUGCACGAAUGGCGUAAUGAUGGCCAGGCUGUCUCCACCCGAGACUCAGUGAAAUUGAACUCGCUGUGAAGAUGCAGUGUACCCGCGGCAAGACGGAAAGACCCCGUGAACCUUUACUAUAGCUUGACACUGAACAUUGAGCCUUGAUGUGUAGGAUAGGUGGGAGGCUUUGAAGCGUGGACGCCAGUCUGCGUGGAGCCAACCUUGAAAUACCACCCUUUAAUGUUUGAUGUUCUAACGUUGGCCCCUGACCGGGGUUGCGGACAGUGUCUGGUGGGUAGUUUGACUGGGGCGGUCUCCUCCCAAAGCGUAACGGAGGAGCACGAAGGUUAGCUAAUCCUGGUCGGACAUCAGGAGGUUAGUGCAAUGGCAUAAGCUAGCUUGACUGCGAGCGUGACGGCGCGAGCAGGUGCGAAAGCAGGUCAUAGUGAUCCGGUGGUUCUGAAUGGAAGGGCCAUCGCUCAACGGAUAAAAGGUACUCCGGGGAUAACAGGCUGAUACCGCCCAAGAGUUCAUAUCGACGGCGGUGUUUGGCACCUCGAUGUCGGCUCAUCACAUCCUGGGGCUGAAGUAGGUCCCAAGGGUAUGGCUGUUCGCCAUUUAAAGUGGUACGCGAGCUGGGUUUAGAACGUCGUGAGACAGUUCGGUCCCUAUCUGCCGUGGGCGCUGGAGAAUUGAGGGGGGCUGCUCCUAGUACGAGAGGACCGGAGUGGACGCAUCACUGGUGUUCGGGUUGUCAUGCCAAUGGCACUGCCCGGUAGCUAAAUGCGGAAGAGAUAAGUGCUGAAAGCAUCUAAGCACGAAACUUGCCCCGAGAUGAGUUCUCCCUGAGACUAUAAGUCUCCUGAAGGAACGUUGAAGACGACGACGUUGAUAGGCCGGGUGUGUAAGCGCAGCGAUGCGUUGAGCUAACCGGUACUAAUGAACCGUGAGGCUUAACCU
This 2897-nucleotide ribosomal RNA is filed under the name Klebsiella pneumoniae. Its description in RNAcentral is "bacterial LSU rRNA". It matches the Rfam family "Bacterial large subunit ribosomal RNA". The record is from RNAcentral. Lineage: Bacteria; Pseudomonadati; Pseudomonadota; Gammaproteobacteria; Enterobacterales; Enterobacteriaceae.